RNAcentral lists this ribosomal RNA (929 nucleotides) under uncultured bacterium. RNAcentral describes it as "bacterial SSU rRNA". It matches the Rfam family "Bacterial small subunit ribosomal RNA", at positions 8 to 916 of the family's 1533-position model. The record is from RNAcentral.
AGAGUUUGAUCCUGGCUCAGAAUGAACGCUGGCGGCGUGCUUAACACAUGCAAGUCGAACGAGAAAGGGGUGGCAACACCCCGAGUAAAGUGGCGCACGGGUGAGUAGCGCGUAGGUGACCUGCCUUCGGGUUAGGGAUAACAGGGCGAAAGCUCUGCUAAUACCGGAUGAGACUGCUUUGGCAGUGAAAGGGUGCGAUUCUUUUCGGGGAAGCAUCCGCCUGGGGAGGGGCCUGCGUCCUAUCAGCUAGUUGGUGGGGUAACGGCUCACCAAGGCAACGACGGGUAGCUGGUCUGAGAGGAUGAUCAGCCACACUGGCACUGACACACGGGCCAGACUCCUACGGGAGGCAGCAGUGAGGAAUUUUGCGCAAUGGGGGAAACCCUGACGCAGCAACGCCGCGUGGGUGAUGAAGGCCUUCGGGUCGUAAAGCCCUGUCGGGCGGGAAGAAAGUAUUGGGGGCAAAUAGCCUUUGGUAUUGACGGUACCGCCAGAGGAAGCACCGGCUAACUCCGUGCCAGCAGCCGCGGUAAUACGGAGGGUGCGAGCGUUAUUCGGAAUUACUGGGCGUAAAGCGCGUGCAGGCGGAAGGAGCAGUCUGAUGUGAAAGCCCGGGGCUUAACCCCGGAAGAGCAUUGGAAACCAUCCUUCUUGAGUGCUGGAGAGGAAGGGGGAAUUCCCGGUGUAGAGGUGAAAUUCGUAGAGAUCGGGAGGAAUACCAGUGGCGAAGGCGCCCUUCUGGACAGUCAAACUGACGCUGAGACGCGAAAGCGUGGGGAGCAAACAGGAUUAGAUACCCUGGUAGUCCACGCUGUAAACGAUGAGAACUAGGUGUAGCGGGUACUCAUUCCUGCUGUGCCGCAGCUAACGCGUUAAGUUCUCCGCCUGGGGAUUACGGUCGCAAGACUAAAACUCAAAGGAAUUGAUGG